UCUGCUGGGACCAGCAGUCUCACAGUUGCCUG
RNAcentral lists this non-coding RNA (32 nucleotides) under Homo sapiens (human). Lineage: Eukaryota; Metazoa; Chordata; Mammalia; Primates; Hominidae. The record is from RNAcentral.